GCCAAUGAUGAGUUGCCCUGUCAAUUAGGUGUAGAUCGCCUCAAGUCCCUGAAUUUCAGGGAGAACCUACUUGGGGUCCUACAUUGGAGUGAGAUAUAUGGGCUUUUACUGAGGU
This is a small nucleolar RNA of Setaria italica (foxtail millet), 115 nucleotides long. It matches the Rfam family "Small nucleolar RNA Z278". Rfam says of the family: snoZ278 is a C/D box small nucleolar RNA. Its methylation guide targets have not been reported. NCBI's taxonomy places the organism in Eukaryota, Viridiplantae, Streptophyta, Magnoliopsida, Poales, Poaceae. The record is from Rfam.